RNAcentral lists this long non-coding RNA (329 nucleotides) under Mytilus galloprovincialis (Mediterranean mussel). Lineage: Eukaryota; Metazoa; Mollusca; Bivalvia; Mytilida; Mytilidae. The record is from RNAcentral.
AAUGCUUAGCUAUUGCUUUAUAUAAAACUAAAUGGCAUUAUAAGUUGGUUUCGAAUGAAAAUGCCAUACUACGUACUCAUAAAUUAUUUAAAACAGAAUUUAAGGUAGAAAAUUACAUUUGUAAAACUAUUGCAGGGAAAUAUAGAAGUGGUAUUGCAAAAUUUUGCUGUGGUGUUUCGCUUCUAAAAUUUAAAACGGGCCGGUAUCAGAACUUACCAAUUAUUGAAAGAAUAUGUUCUUAUUGUAAUGAUAUCAUUGAAGAUGAGAAACAUGUAAUUUUGAAAUGUCCACUUUAUGCAGAUUUUCGUGCUGUAUUGUUAAGUUACGCU